GCUGCAGCGGAUCUGCUCCCUGUUCAAUCGAACUUCAGCUCGUAUCUGGGCCGUCCAUGGAAGCAGUAUUCGAGGACAGUGUAUCUCCAGUCCCAGCUGGACGACGUGGUGGCACCCGCUGGGUGGCUUCCGUGGAAUGGGAGCUUUGCGUUGGAUACGCUGUACUAUGGGGAGUACCAGAACCGGGGACCCGGGGCGAAUACCAGUGCGAGGGUGACGUGGCCCGGUUACAGGGUGAUUAAUAGCUCGGCGGAAGCGAGUAAUUUUACGGUGACGAACUUCAUACAGGGGGAUGUGUGGCUGGCGGCUACCUCAGUCCCGU
Molecule: unclassified non-coding RNA, 322 nt
Filed under: Hevea brasiliensis (rubber tree)
Lineage: Eukaryota; Viridiplantae; Streptophyta; Magnoliopsida; Malpighiales; Euphorbiaceae
Source: RNAcentral